AGAGUUUGAUCCUGGCUCAGAACGAACGCUGGCGGCAUGCCUAACACAUGCAAGUCGAACGAGACCUUCGGGUCUAGUGGCGCACGGGUGCGUAACGCGUGGGAAUCUGCCCUUCGGUUCGGAAUAACACAGAGAAAUUUGUGCUAAUACCGGAUGAUGACUUCGGUCCAAAGAUUUAUCGCCGAGGGAUGAGCCCGCGUAGGAUUAGCUUGUUGGUGGGGUAAUGGCCUACCAAGGCGACGAUCCUUAGCUGGUCUGAGAGGAUGAUCAGCCACACUGGGACUGAGACACGGCCCAGACUCCUACGGGAGGCAGCAGUGGGGAAUAUUGGACAAUGGGCGCAAGCCUGAUCCAGCAAUGCCGCGUGAGUGAUGAAGGCCUUAGGGUUGUAAAGCUCUUUUACCCGGGAUGAUAAUGAC
RNAcentral lists this ribosomal RNA (419 nucleotides) under uncultured bacterium. RNAcentral describes it as "bacterial SSU rRNA". It matches the Rfam family "Bacterial small subunit ribosomal RNA", at positions 8 to 455 of the family's 1533-position model. The record is from RNAcentral.